CUUGGCGCUACAAAUGCCAUGCUCUACCAACUGUGGUACAAAGGACCACAUCAAUGAUGCCUGACCAAAGAUGGUGGAUAAAUAAAGAUCUCCCACUGUCAGUUCCGGUCUGCUUAACAGUGUGGCUCUCUCAUAGGCACCAAUGCAUUAGCAAAUGGGUCUGCUUAGUUCAUUGACUGUAUAUGAACCAGAAAAAAUUAGGGAGUGGGAUGUCUUGCUUCUUCUUCCGUCUCAGGCAUAGGGGUAUAGAUGGGUUAGCUGACAAUGUCACACAAAUUAUGUGUGCACUUCCAUGGGGCAGAGGUCAGUGUGUUGUUGUGAUUUUGGAUGGCCAGAUUGCUGGUAAGAAUUACAAGAACUAGCUCUCUUUCUCACUUUCUUGCUUCUCCAUAAUUUUGGAAGAAAUUAUUAUUUUUCUCACUUUGAGUCAAAUACUCACCACAUUUUAUGCACUGCAGUGCUAGCUAGCUGUAACUUAUGAUUUCAGUACUAGAUAAAUUCUCUCAACCUUUGAUUGGGUGGACAACAUGUCAGUUUAUGCUGCAAGAACUCUGAUAGGUUGGAGGACGUCCUGUGUUUUAUGUUGAAGUCAACAGUAUGUUGAUGUCAUGUAUCAACAGUCUGUUGCCUUGCUGUACCAGUGAGGGUGAAGUCACUACAGUACACACAGUACUGAGCUGGUCAUUUGUGUGGAAGGAAGGACAGCUUGCUUUGGUGUGUGUGUGUGUGGAUAUCCAGGUGUGUAUGGGGGAGAAAGAACAAAGACCGGUGAGGGAGAACAAUAGCACACAACGGUGUAUGUAUAUGUGUGUGUGUGUGUGUGUGUGUGUGGUGGUAACAUCUGGUGCUUGUGGUGUGGUGAGCCCUCAGGCCUGGUGAUAAAUGAUACCUCUCACUGCCAACCUGUCAGCAAGGACCCAGCCAGCCAACGAGGACAGAGCAUAUACACUCUGUUAUAAAGACUACCAAACCUAUACUGCAGAUGGAGUGGGGAGGGAUAUUGCUCAGAUAUAGCUGAUUCAUGCCAGAAAUGACAAAGCCUGGAUAGGUAUUUUACGUAUCAGCUAACCACAUUAUGCUAUAGAAUAUUCUGGGAGAGCCCUGCACUGGCAUGAAUUUUAAGCCCGAAUCAUACCCAUGCCCGUGAUAUUCAAGCCUGCGACAUUUAUAAUCUACCCAGGCCCAUGACAUUCAUUACCGACCCAGGCCCACGACAUUCAUUAUCUACCCAGGCCCACGACAUUCAUUAUCUACCCAGGCCCACGACAUUCAUUACCGACCCAGGCCCGCGACAUUCAUUACCUACCCAGGCCCACGACAUUCAUUACCUACCCAGGCCCACGACAUCCAUUACCUACCCAGGCCCGUGACAUUCACUACCUACCCAGGCCCACGACAGUCAGGCCCGCGACAUUCAUGAUCUACCCAGGCCCACGACAUUCAUUACCUACCCAGGCCCACGACAUUCAGGCCCGCAACAUUCAUGAUCUACCCAGACCUACGACAUUCAUUACCUACCCAGGCCCACGACAUUCAUUACCUACCCAGGCCCACGACAUCCAUCACCUACCCAGGCCCGCGACAUUCACUACCUACCCAGGCCCACGACAGUCAGGCCCGCGACAUUCAUGAUCUACCCAGGCCCACGACAUUCAUUACCUACCCAGGCCCACGACAUUCAUUACCUACCCAGGCCCACGACAUUCAGGCCCCACCCGAACCAGGCCUGAUUACUUCUGCAAAUUUAAAGCCUGGCCCUGCCCGAAACCCGAAAUCAUAAAUAACGUCCUCUCUGUCUAUAACUUGCUCCCUGCGAGCAGCUCGCUCUGCAUGCACUCUGUGAGUCGAUGAGUAACCAUAGCAACAGUUCUAGUUGGGCUGUUCUGCUCAAUGACGAGACAUGAGAGAGCAUUUAGCUGUUAG
This is a long non-coding RNA of Oncorhynchus tshawytscha (Chinook salmon), 1923 nucleotides long. Lineage: Eukaryota; Metazoa; Chordata; Actinopteri; Salmoniformes; Salmonidae. The record is from Ensembl.